RNAcentral lists this ribosomal RNA (497 nucleotides) under uncultured bacterium. RNAcentral's name for it is "partial 16S ribosomal RNA". It matches the Rfam family "Bacterial small subunit ribosomal RNA", at positions 28 to 507 of the family's 1533-position model. The record is from RNAcentral.
GAUGAACGCUGGCGGCGUGCCUAAUACAUGCAAGUCGAGCGAACAGACGAGGAGCUUGCUCCUCUGACGUUAGCGGCGGACGGGUGAGUAACACGUGGAUAACCUACCUAUAAGACUGGGAUAACUUCGGGAAACCGGAGCUAAUACCGGAUAAUAUAUUGAACCGCAUGGUUCAAUAGUGAAAGACGGUUUUGCUGUCACUUAUAGAUGGAUCCGCGCCGCAUUAGCUAGUUGGUAAGGUAACGGCUUACCAAGGCAACGAUGCGUAGCCGACCUGAGAGGGUGAUCGGCCACAAUGGAACUGAGACACGGUCCAGACUCCUACGGGAGGCAGCAGUAGGGAAUCUUCCGCAAUGGGCGAAAGCCUGACGGAGCAACGCCGCGCGAGUGAUGAAGGUCUUCGGAUCGUAAAACUCUGUUAUUAGGGAAGAACAAAUGUGUAAGUAACUAUGCACGUCUUGACGGUACCUAAUCAGAAAGCCACGGCUAACUACGUG